RNAcentral lists this long non-coding RNA (6151 nucleotides) under Sus scrofa (pig). RNAcentral describes it as "lncRNA (ENSSSCG00040024124.1)". The record is from RNAcentral. Lineage: Eukaryota; Metazoa; Chordata; Mammalia; Artiodactyla; Suidae.
AGGAAUAAAAAAGACCUUGCUAUUCCGCCCUUUGAGUUACAGCUAUUAUGACAGUUGAGAGGGGCGAGGGGGGGGGCGGUGUAGAAUUAGGAGGGGUUUUGAUGGCUGCCCGUCUAGUCCACUUAGUUUUUGUACUGGAAGGGCUCGUCGCCAGUUUCGUUGAGAAGACACGUGCGGAUGAGAGCUUCUGUCACCGCAAAGGGGUCACAGUUGGCAGAAGGGCGACGGUCUUCGAAGUAACCCUUCUUCUCCUGGCCGACAGUCUGGGGAAUGCGGAUGCUAGCGCCACGGUUGGCCACGCCGGCAGAAAAGUCGUUGAUGUUGGAGGUUUCAUGGAAUCCAGUUAGGCGCCGGGCGUUGUCCAGGCCCCCCUUGGGAUCGUAGGCUCGGAUGUGGUACUGGUGCCGCUUGCUUAGCUUCUCGAUGGCCUCCUUGAUGUACUUCAGACCAUUCUCCUCUCGCAUGGCCUUGGUGCUAAAGUUGGUGUGGCAGCCGGCACCAUUCCAGUUCCCAGGAAUGGGCUUAGGAUCAAAGGUGGCGAUCACUCCGAAGUCUUCGCACACACGAUGCAAGAUGAAUCGGGCCACCCAGAGGUGAUCUCCCAUGUCGAUUCCUUCACAGGGUCCGAUCUGGAAUUCCCACUGGGCGGGCAUGACCUCGGCAUUGGUGCCCCCAAUCUUGAUGCCGGCAUACAAGCAGGCCCGGUAGUGAGCCUCCACAAUGUCCCUGCCAUAGGCUUUGUCUGCUCCAACACCACAAUAGUACGGACCUUGGGGCCCAGGGAAGCCAUUGGAAGGCCAACCAAAGGGGUGUCCAUCUGUGCCCAUGAGAGUAUAUUCCUGCUCCAUUCCAAACCAGGGGUGCUGGUUGCUCACCAUGUCCAUUAUCCAUUUACAGGUGUGCCUUAAUUUGGUCUCUGCAGGCUUUCGGUUGUACUUGAAGACCUCACAGAACACCAGCUUGAUGGGGUCCUUGCGGAAAGGGUCCCGAAACAUGGCAGCAGGGACAAGAUACAGAGCCACAGCAAUACCAGAUCCAAGCCGCAUCUGCGACCCACACCACAGUUCACAGCAAUGCCAGAUCCUUAACCCUCUGAGCAGGGCCAGGGAUGAAACCUGUGUCCUCAUGGAUGUUAGUUGGGUUUGUUAACCACUGAGCCACUCCCCUUUUUUUUUCUUUUUUUUUUUCUUUUUUGGCGACCCCAACGCAUAAUGGAGUUUCCAGGCCAGGAAUCAGAUCCAAGCUGCAAUUACAACCUACGCCACAGUUGCAGCAAUACCAGAUCCUUUAACCCUCUGCACCAGGCCCGGGAUCAAACCUGCAUCUGGGUGCUGCAGUGACGCCACUGAUGCACCACAGUAGGAACUCCUGUAAUGUGUAUUUUAACUCAAAAAAUAAAACAACAAUAUUUUAAAAAUAUUUAACAUUUUAAAAAAGUACUAACCCCACCUCUAGCCCAUAAUAGAAGACUCCCCAGGCAGGCAGUGCGGGCUAGCUGGAUGGGUCUAUGAAAUCAUCACAGACCCAGGUCCUUCAGUUUUCUCACACCAGCAUCCAUUCCAAAGGUCACCUCAUAGUCCAAAAUAGCUGCUAGAGCUCCAGCCAUCAUACUCCAGAUUACAAGAAAGAACUAUGUUCUGAUGCUCUUUUUAGGGGCCUUCCCAAAAGUCCACCCCAAAACUUCUGCUUAUAUUUUAUUGGCUAGAAUUUAGUCCCAUGGCCAUGUCUGGCUUCAAGGGAGUCCGGGAAAGGUAGGUGUGGUAGGAAGCCUCAACUCCAGGCUUCCUGGUUGAUUCACUCCUUUGUGGAAUUCUACCCCUGAGUGUGGGCCAGACCUAGUAACUUUUUUUCUAACCAAUAGAAUAUGGCAAAGGUGAUAGGAUGUCACUUCUGAGAUUAGGUUACAAAGAGAUGGUGACUUCUGUCUUGGGUGGCCUCUCUUGCUCAGAGGGAAGCCAGCUAUAUUGUGAGCUGCCCUGUGUAGAGACCCCCAUAGCAAGGAACUGAUGUCUCUGGCCAACAGCUAGUGAAGACUUGAGGACAUGAAUGAGCUUGGAAGGACAUUCUCCCCCAGUUGAGUCUUCAGAUGACUGCAGCCCCAGCAGACAUCUGAACUUUAACUACUUGAGAGACCUGGUCCAGAAGACCCAUGAAACUGACUCGCCGAGUUUGGGCCUAUGCGUUACACAGCCUUGACUGACUAAUACAGUUUUCCAGGCAGACACAUUCCCAGGCUUCUGUCAGUAAGAAGGAGGGGAAAGAUGGAGUUGGGAGGCAGCCAGCAGGCACUGUCACCUGUACCUCCCUCACAGGACUGUUGCAAGGAUGGCAUGAAGUAAGUCUGCAAAGUGCCCACCUGCCGUCCACCAGCAUCCAGGAAGUGCCUGUGCGAAGAGAGGUGGGUAGCAAAGGGCACCAUCCAGGGUCUAUCUUCCAGGCGUCUCACCAAGCUGUUUUAGGAGACACAACUGCACUGUGUUUCAUGUGUGACUUUCCCAGGCUCCCUCUCCCCUUUUACAGUUCAGAACUCCUCCCCAAAUCCAAUCCUGCAAAACCCCAAGCCAACUGGUGGGUCCAUCAAACAGUGAGAUUUUAGAGGAAAAGGGCUAAGAGCCCCUCACAUCCAGUCCCUCCCACACCAGUUACGGCAUGAACCACACACUUGCUUGAGAUCCCCCAGCCUCUAGGCAGAGGUGGGAGCUGGACCCUCCCACCCAAAAGAGAUCCCCAGUCUCUGCUCCACCUUCUUCCUGCACCACUGGUGCUGAGGCAGAACCCAGGAUUUGGAGCAUUUAGAGCGUUGCCUGUAAAACGAUGGCACGCCUUCCAUCCAAUUUUCUCCCCCCUUGAGGAGUGGAGGUCAGGUGGGUGAGGUGUUUUGAGUGAAUGCCUCUCGUGUUUCUUGCUGGUUUCCCUUGAGGCGAUUGGAGAUGAUUCCUCUUGUCUGUCAAAGAGAGACCUGAAGUCCUUGUGGUUCCCCAAGAGCCUGUUUCUCUUGAGAGCAGCUGGGAGAAAGAUUGAGUGUUCCUCUGAGUCCCACAGUGAUAUGUGCGCUUAACUGAGGCAAGAAUUGUCUCCCUGGAGCUCCCGCUGUGGCUCAGUGGUCACGAACCCAACUAGUAUCCAUGAGNUAUAGCUCCUCUUCAACCCCUAGCCUGGGCACUUCCAGAUGCCGCAGGUGCAGCCCUAAACACCCCCACCCCCCAAAAAAAACAUUUCUGAUGAGUCAUUGAUGUCCGUUCAGCUCAGCGACAGUUAGGACUGGAACGUGGGUGAUUUUCUUUGCUCUGCUCUCUGCCAUUAUUGCCUCUAUUAGGAAUUUGAUGUGCUCAAAAGAUAGAGUUUGCCGCUUGCUAACUGUGGGCCUUUUGCGGGUGGUGGCAUCCACAGGAAGCAUUCCCAUUGGGGUUUUGUGACCCUGGCAUCACUAUGUACAUAUGUAUGUAUGUAUUUUUUUCCUUUUAGGGCUGCACCUGCAGCACAUGGAAGUUCCCAGACUAGGGGUUGAAUCGGAGCUACAGCUGCUAGCCUACACCGCAGCCACAGCAACGCCAGAUCUGAGCUGCAUCUGUGAAUGUCACUGCAGCUUGCGGUAACACCAGAUCCUUAACCCAGUGAGUGAGUCCAGGGAUAGAACCCUCAUCCUUACGGAGACUACGUCGGUUCCUUAAUCUGCUGAACUACAGUGGGAAUUCCACUAAACCUGCAUGCACAAAGGCCCCUGGUCCCGCUGUGUCUGUGCGGGGACCCAGCCUGCAGCGGGAGUCCCUGGAAACGGCUUCCCUCUCUGCACAUGGCUCUGUGUGUGCCUGGCUCGCAGUCUUGCUGGCGAUCGUGUGUUGGCACUGACCCACGAAUAUUUGCCUCUCAUGUCUUUGAGAGAGAAGAGUCGGCCUCGCCUGGAGGGUAGCCGGGGUGUGCAUGGACGGCUGUCUCGGGCUGGAUGCCGCACUCCAGGUCGGGGAAAACGUGGUGGGCUCACCUUUGUUCAUGGGGUGGGUCACAGGAUUCACUGUGUGAAGCUGGAGGGAAGCCCAGGAAACUGGAGAAGUUUCUUGGGGAGGGUACCAGCUUGGGGACUCCAGGAGGGAACAGGAAGACACUGCCUGUGGUUACCGAAGGCAGCGAUGCGCAGGAGGUAGUGGCAAGAGCGGGCUGUUUGCUCAUCAGGUGAGGGGCCCGCGGAGUGAGGUUAGUGAUGGGCCAGGCCUGGGCCUGAGUAGUGCAUCUUUGCAGUUUUCUCCUUAUGCAUUUAGAAGAAAAUGUGUUGAUUUUUUUUUUUUUUCCCUGUCACAUGCUCAGCACUCUAAGAGGUUAUUCAUGCCAGGAGGAGCUGCUGGUGUUUUAGCAAACUAGCACGUCUCACCUGAAGCUUGUAAAGCGCUAGACGGAAUCGUAACUGUGAUAAUAAGGGCAGGCACUGAUGCGGCUGCAAGGUGAGCCAGGGAUCCUUCCAGGUGCUUUGCGUGUGUUUAAGAGCAGAUGGGAGGUCCAGAGGCUGGGCUGGGGGGUGGCCAGCAAGCCUUGCCCGUGGGCUCCCCUAGCAUUAGUUAUAUGAAUGAGUUUUACUCCACAAACGUGGCCUUUUAAAAUGUCACAAUCCUUACAAAAGUUUUUAUGGUAAAAAGCCCUUGCAUUAUUGAAAUAUACCUGACACGUAACAUUGUGGAAAAUUCAGGUGGCCGCCCUGUUGAUUUGAUACACUUACAUGGCAAAACGAUUCCCGCCAUGGGGGGGCGCUAACACCUGCAGCUCGUCACAUGGUUACCAUUUCUUCUUUGGGGUGAGACAUUUACUCUCAGCAACUUUCAAGUGUACAAUACAGUGUGAUUAACUAGACUCCCCCUGCUGUGUAUUUGAUUCCCAGAACUUCAUCUUAUACCUGAUAGCAUGACCCUUGACCAGCGACUCAUUUUCCCACCUCCCAGCCCCUGCUAACCACGUCUCUACCCUCUGUUUCAAUGAAUUCAGCUGUUUUAUUUAUUGUAUUCAUUUAUUUUAUUUAUUUUGGCUUUUUAGGGUCACACCUGCAGCAUACUAUAGAGGUUCCCAGGCUAAGGGUCGAAUCGGAGCUGCACCUGCCGGCCUACACCACAGCCAUAGAAACGUGGGAUCCAAGCUGCAUCUGUGACCUACAUCACAGCUCACGGCAACGCUGGAUCCUUGACCCACUGAGCAAGGCCCGGGGUGGAACCUGCAUCCUCAUGGACACUAUGUUGGGUCCUUAACCCACUGGGCCACAACGGGAACUCCAGCAUCCUCGACUUUCCCCUCUGAGCUCACCUUCCUGCGUGUGCUUGGGGACUGGAAUGCUCCAGCUGGCCUUGUCCCUCAACACCGUAAUUGUCCUUUAUCUCCCACUAAGCAGGAACCAGCUUUUCCUAGUACAGUACCUGCUACAAAGUCAAAGCAAUGACCUUGGAAAAGUUGCUCAGUGAUACUGAACCUUGGUUUCCAGUUUGGUACUGAGGUCCAAUGUGCUUCUGCGCCACCUGUCAAUUCUCUUUCCCUUGCCCCUGAUGGAAAACUAGUUCAUUCCUGGCUUCGGUAAAAAGGUACUGACUGGCCCAUGUUAUUGAAAAGAGCUAAGGCUUCAGGAAUGGCUGGAUCUAGAUACUUGAAUGUGGCAUCAGGAAUCCCUUUGAGGCAAGCCCCUGGUCCUGCGCCUGCGCCGCCCGCAUCCGCGUGGCCGGCGGCUUCCACAUUCCGUGCCCUCUCCCGGCCCCAGACGCGUCUCGGAGGGGGCGCCUGUAGAUGGGAGCAGCGUCUCCCAUGAACAUCCCCCAGCUGGCCCCUGCUCGGGAGCCGCCCCUGCCCCGAGGCUGCCAAGGGCCAGCCCUGAGCAGGUAGCGCCAAGGACCCGGAAGCUCACUGUUUGGGUGUAAAUUCAAAUCGGCGGCAUAUGCGCAUCGAGGGACAUGGAAGGACUGACCAACAGGGACCUGCUGUAGCGCCCAGAGAACUCUACCCCGGAUUCCGCGAUGGUCUAUGUGGGGAAAGAAUCUGAAAGAGAAUGCACGUGUGUACAUGUUAUAACCGAAUCGCUGUCGUGCAGCAGAAAUGAUGAGGGCAUCCUCAAUCACCUCUACUUCAAUAAAACAAUAAAAAAUAAAUUAACUCUUAGAAGUUCUCAGACCAAAAGAUAAAUAAA